CUGAUUUUCUCUGUUUUGGGCUGUGGGUAUUUGGGCUUAGUUUUGGGUUUAGGCUAGUUGGGUUUCUGUAACUUGGGUUGAGGAUUUAGGGUCUGCUUGGUUUGGGACACAUUGAGCCCGGUGUAAAGGGACUAUUUUUAGACUUUUAAUUUUAGUUUUAUAUUUAUUAUAUAUAUAUAUUUUUUUUGUUUAUUUAUUUGGGCCGGGCAAAAUUAGGGUAUUACACACUUGAUUUGAAAGGCCUUUCUUAAUCGUC
This 256-nucleotide long non-coding RNA is filed under the name Gossypium raimondii (Peruvian cotton). RNAcentral describes it as "long non-coding RNA (GRAI_LNC010115)". The record is from RNAcentral. Lineage: Eukaryota; Viridiplantae; Streptophyta; Magnoliopsida; Malvales; Malvaceae.